GCAGUCGAACGGUAACAGGAAUUAGCUUGCUAAUUUGCUGACGAGUGGCGCACGGGUGCGUAACGCGUAUACAAUCUACCUUUUACAGAGAGAUAGCCCAGAGAAAUUUGGAUUAAUACCUCAUAGUAUUAUUUGAUGGCAUCAUUAGAUAAUUAAAGUUUCGGCGGUAAAAGAUGAGUAUGCGUUCUAUUAGCUAGAUGGUGUGGUAACGGCACACCAUGGCAACGAUAGAUAGGGGCCCUGAGAGGGGGAUCCCCCACACUGGUACUGAGACACGGACCAGACUCCUACGGGAGGCAGCAGUGAGGAAUAUUGGACAAUGGAGGCAACUCUGAUCCAGCCAUGCCGCGUGCAGGAAGACUGCCCUAUGGGUUGUAAACUGCUUUUAUACAGGAAGAAACACUCCCUCGUGAGGGAGCUUGACGGUACUGUAAGAAUAAGGAUCGGCUAACUCCGUGCCAGCAGCCGCGGUAAUACGGAGGAUCCAAGCGUUAUCCGGAAUCAUUGGGUUUAAAGGGUCCGUAGGUGGAUAAUUAAGUCAGAGGUGAAAUCCUGCAGCUCAACUGUAGAAUUGCCUUUGAUACUGGUUAUCUUGAGUU
RNAcentral lists this ribosomal RNA (599 nucleotides) under uncultured bacterium. RNAcentral's name for it is "bacterial SSU rRNA". It matches the Rfam family "Bacterial small subunit ribosomal RNA", at positions 57 to 648 of the family's 1533-position model. The record is from RNAcentral.